AAAAAAGGGUUCUGCCGUAAGUGACAUAUGUAGGGAAAAUUGCUUGCUCUAUGUGUAGAAUUGACAUAAAGAGAUUUCAGAAGCAUAAUUUUGGGGCAGUGUGGCAGCUAGUGAUUGGUGGUCCUGGUGCCGCC
Sorex araneus (European shrew) is the source of this 134-nucleotide small nuclear RNA. Lineage: Eukaryota; Metazoa; Chordata; Mammalia; Eulipotyphla; Soricidae. The record is from Ensembl.